Molecule: long non-coding RNA, 436 nt
Organism: Bos taurus (domestic cattle)
Lineage: Eukaryota; Metazoa; Chordata; Mammalia; Artiodactyla; Bovidae
Source: Ensembl
GACAGAGAUGUCAGAGAGAGAAGGUGGCUAAUUUGGAGCAAGAGGGGAGCUCAGGAGGAAAGAGAGAGAAGCCUUGGAUGGAAGGACAGAGAAACUAAGAGGACAGAAGAAAUUAAUAAGUGUUUGCUCCUUCUCAUCUGGAAUGAUGGGCCAUCAUUUGGUAGCUCUGUCAACCUUAUCAUCACGGUUAUCUGCCUGGCAGAGGAUGGCUGCUUUGGAAAACAGAUCCAGCUUCUCUAGAGUCAGACUUCCAGAUCUUCAUCUGCAGAGAAAGAUGAACGCUGAGCCUGCCACAGAUGGAAAGAAAUAAUAGCAGGAAAGUGGCGGUACCCGGUGGAGAAAGCAGGUCUUCACGUAAAGACACCUGCUGUGCCACUCGAGGAUGCUUUAAUGGGAAAAGACUAUUUUUUUGGACAAGUUGACCCAUAUAAAAAAA